UCCUCCUCCUAGCUGCCUGAGGAUGUGCACUCUGUCCUGGCUCCCUGCGGGUGAAGAUGUAGAACUCUUAGCUCCUCCUGCACCAUCCCUGCCUGGAUGCUGCCAUGCUCCUGCCUUGAUGAUAAUGGACUGAACCUCUGAACCUAACAAGAUGUAGAACUCUCAACUUAUCCAGCACCAUGCCUGCCUAGACGCUGUCACGCUCUCAUCUUGAUGACAACAGACUGAACCUCUGAACCUGUAAGCCAGCUCCAAUUAAAUGUUGUUCCUUACAAUA
Non-coding RNA from Rattus norvegicus (Norway rat), 277 nucleotides. NCBI's taxonomy places the organism in Eukaryota, Metazoa, Chordata, Mammalia, Rodentia, Muridae. The record is from RefSeq and is a predicted model, not a curated record.